GCCCCUAUCGUCUAGAGGCCUAGGACACCUCCCUUUCACGGAGGAGACCGGGAUUCGAAUUCCCGUGGGGGUA
Molecule: transfer RNA, 73 nt
Filed under: Candidatus Gastranaerophilales bacterium
Lineage: Bacteria; Bacillati; Candidatus Melainabacteria; Candidatus Gastranaerophilales
Description: tRNA-Glu
Rfam family: tRNA
About the family: Transfer RNA (tRNA) molecules are approximately 80 nucleotides in length. Their secondary structure includes four short double-helical elements and three loops (D, anti-codon, and T loops).
Source: RNAcentral